UAAAAGGGUUACGGACAGUCUUGAAAUGUGAAUCCAAACCCCAGGUUUUUAAACUCUUUGGCAAAUUCGAAUGACGACAGGUUUCCUCCUUCAGAGACGAAACAGGGUUCCAUCUGUGAAACCUGACUUCGAAGCAGAUGACGACUUUUCCCACGGGUGGUGCACCAGUACUUCUAGGAAACACAAACACCUGAUUUUGAUCUUAUUCAUUAGGAUUUCAUUUUAACAUGGAUCUGGAAUAAACAUAACUAGCACAUCUUGCUCAUAAUUACACAGCUUUUACUGUUUAGGAGGAGGCCUAACAGUAAGUUAAUUGUGGGCUAUUAACAGUCGUUAAUUCUGUUUAAGCAGGAGAUCACGUGAAAGAAUAAUCCUCAGUAAAUCUUGGCUGUGGGUGACUGAUGGACGUUUCGAAGCCUAGACUGGAAGAUGAGAUUGGGGUGAGGUGGCACACAGCAUGGCCUCAGGAACCUGGGAUCCAGCCACCUGCCGCUCCCAAUGGAGGGAAGAAGUCAUGGAGGGUCCCAGGGAGUGAUUGUGCAUCCAGCAUUAUGCAGAACAUGAAGAGGAGCACGUUGUAGUCUCUGAAUUCAGGAGAAGCAGACGGCAGAGGUGCAGUUUCCUUGCAGGUGGAGAUUGCCACUUGGUCUACAGAGUGAGGAGAAUACCACGAAAGGCAGAGCACAGAUAUCCAAGUGUGAUCGGACAGCAGGUCUUGGCCAGGAGCAUACACAGAAUAAACAAAUAAGUAAGUGAAGAGGGGAAGGGAAAGUAAUAUUAAGACUGUUCAAGACUUGAAAUACAGAUCUCCUAAAAAGGAGUCCUUUGAAGGCUUGGGAUACUACAGAAAGAUCCCAGUGACCACUGAGCCUGCUUUCGAAUUUUGAAGGAAAUACACCAGUUGAAUAAAGCAGUGUGACAUGAGAGAAAGGAGACCAGCAAAGGUGAAUGGGACACCAGCCUUUCAAGGACUUGUGCAGAGUAAUUGGAGGAGGCGUGAGCUCGGCCAAUGCUGUGGAUCAGUUUCCUAGGCUGCUGUAACAAAGCACCACAACCUGGUGGCUUAGAACAGUGGAAAGACAUUCGUUUGCAGUUCUGGAAACUGUAGGUUAUAAACUGAGUGUGGCAGGGUCACGACCCCUCUGAAACCUAGGAGGGAAGCAUCCUUCUCAGCUUCUUCCUGCUUCUGCUAUACCCUGAUGUUCCUGGGCUAGUGGCAGCAUAAUUCUGGCCUCUGCCUCUGUCUUAACAUGGUAUUUUUUUUCCUGUGUCUCUUUGUAUUGCCUUUUCUCUCUGUGCCUCUACCUCUGAAUCCAAAUUUCCCCUUUUUAUAAGGACACCAGUCACGUUGGAUUAGGGCCCACUAUAAAGACCUUGUUUUAACUUGAUUACUCUAUCGAGACCCUGA
Molecule: long non-coding RNA, 1408 nt
Filed under: Callithrix jacchus (white-tufted-ear marmoset)
Lineage: Eukaryota; Metazoa; Chordata; Mammalia; Primates; Cebidae
Description: lncRNA (ENSCJAG00000070277.1)
Source: RNAcentral